Molecule: ribosomal RNA, 513 nt
Filed under: uncultured bacterium
Lineage: Bacteria
Description: bacterial SSU rRNA
Rfam family: Bacterial small subunit ribosomal RNA
Source: RNAcentral
GACGAACGCUGGCGGCGUGUCUAACACAUGCAAGUCGAGCGGGCGGUUACGAGGCGUGUAGAGAUACAGCCGAGUGGCUGUUAGCGGCGAACGGGUGAGUAACACGUGGGCAAUCUGCCCUCCGGGUCGGGAUAACAGACCGAAAGGCCUGCUAAUACCGAAUGAGGCGGCGACCUCGCAUGGGGAUGGCCGUCAAAGGGGAAACCCGCCGGGGGAGGAGCCCGCGUCCCAUUAGCUAGUUGGUGAUGUAACGGACCACCAAGGCGAUGAUGGGUAGCCGGCCUGAGAGGGUGAACGGCCACAUUGGGACUGAGACACGGCCCAGACUCCUACGGGGGGCAGCAGUGAGGGAUUUUCGGCAAUGGGACGAAAGCCUGACCGAGCGACGCCGCGUGAGCGAAGAAGGCCUUCGGGUCGUAAAGCUCUGUCUAGGGGAAGAGGAAGGACGGUAACCCCGUGGAGGAAGCCACGGCGUAAACUACGUGCCAAGCAGCCGCGGUAAACUGUAGUCGU